Molecule: ribosomal RNA, 478 nt
Filed under: uncultured bacterium
Lineage: Bacteria
Description: partial 16S ribosomal RNA
Rfam family: Bacterial small subunit ribosomal RNA
Source: RNAcentral
GACGAACGCUGGCGGCGUGCUUAACACAUGCAAGUCGAACGGUAAGGCCCUUCGGGGUACACGAGUGGCGAACGGGUGAGUAACACGUGGGUGAUCUGCCCUGCACUUCGGGAUAAGCCUGGGAAACUGGGUCUAAUACCGGAUAGGACCACUGCCUGCAUGGGUGGUGGUGGAAAGCUUUUGCGGUGUGGGAUGGGCCCGCGGCCUAUCAGCUUGUUGGUGGGGUGAUGGCCUACCAAGGCGACGACGGGUAGCCGGCCUGAGAGGGUGACCGGCCUCACUGGGACUGAGAUACGGCCCAGGCUCCUACGGGAGGCAGCAGGGGGGAAUAUUGCACAAUGGGCGCAAGCCUGAUGCAGCGACGCCGCGUGGGGGAUGACGGCCUUCGGGUUGUAAACCUCUUUCAGCACCGACGAAGCGCAAGUGACGGUAGGUGCAGAAGAAGGACCGGCCAACUACGUGCCAGCCGCCGCGGUAA